UACACAACUUGGGUUAACAGUGGGCUGCUAAGUUUAUGGAAGGCUUUCCCACCCUUCACUAGCCCAGGCAUGGCAGCAGGUAAGGAAUGGUGGGGUGGACGAGUGAGCCCCAGGAGCUUGGGCAGUCUGUGAGGGGCUCCCCCUGGGAAAGUACCAUGAAAGGCCAGAGUGCUGGCUUUCUUUCCUCCAGACACUUCCUCCCCAGAACCUCCCCUAAUUACUACAACCAAGAAUGCAGUUUGAGCUUGGGCUGAGCUCUGGCUGACCGGAAGCUGUGGCCCCUCCCCCACACGUUACAACUGUGAGAGUAGUUUGAACUCCCUGCCCAUCAGCGUUUCACUGGGUCGCACACUGGUGACUCAGGUGGACUAUUUUGGAUUUGAUGAAGGUCAUUCAUAGAAAACAAAGGUAGAGAAUUAGAGCCAGUCUUCCAAUCCUGGCAAAGACAGGGCCUCACUCUGACACUGAAGCUAGAGUGCAGUGGCAUGAUUGCAGCUCACUGAAGCGUCAAAGUCCCCAGCUCAAGACAUCCUACCACCUCAGCCUCCUGAGUAGUUGGGACUACCCAGGCAUUCAGCACCAUGCCUGGCUAAAGAAGAAAUAAUUUAGCAUCUUGAGUUUCUUAACUUUUUUAUUUCUCAAAACUUCUCAUGUAAAUAAAAGAUCUUAUUACAAUAACCUUUUCAAUCUAAGGGCUACAGGAAAAAAUCUAUUUUUUCCAUUAAAUAUUUUUCCUUCUAUUAAAUUAAAGCACUAUAUAACUUAACACAUUGCCUUUAAUGCCUUGGCUACUGAAAAGUCUGGAAUAAAUGUAUGGUUGUGUUAUUUAGUUGUAGUCAUACUGUGUCUGAACUUUUAUUGUAAACUACUUUAAAUGUUUCUUGAAAUAGCUAAAAUAAUAAUUAAUUAAUUUUAAUCAGUUUGUGGGAAUUCUAAUUGUUCUCAGAGAGUCAAACACAGAAAAAUAUUGGUUCAAGCUUAAAUAAGUUCAUGUAGGUUUUCUUGUGUGUAAAACUUAUAAGAAAUAUAUUACAAUCAGCUCAAGAACUACAUAAAAAUCAGAAAGUCAGAGAAGAAACAAUUCAUGUAAAUUAAUUCAGAAUUUCUCUAAAUUUCUCUAAA
Molecule: non-coding RNA, 1122 nt
Organism: Microcebus murinus (gray mouse lemur)
Lineage: Eukaryota; Metazoa; Chordata; Mammalia; Primates; Cheirogaleidae
Source: RefSeq, a predicted model, not a curated record